This 46-nucleotide ribosomal RNA is filed under the name Trichoderma brevicompactum. Its description in RNAcentral is "partial 18S ribosomal RNA". Lineage: Eukaryota; Fungi; Ascomycota; Sordariomycetes; Hypocreales; Hypocreaceae. The record is from RNAcentral.
GUAGUUAAAAAUCGUAACAAGGUUUUGGUUGGUGGCCGGGCGGAGG